RNAcentral lists this ribosomal RNA (244 nucleotides) under Flavobacterium sp. RNAcentral describes it as "partial 16S ribosomal RNA". It matches the Rfam family "Bacterial small subunit ribosomal RNA", at positions 1289 to 1533 of the family's 1533-position model. The record is from RNAcentral. Lineage: Bacteria; Pseudomonadati; Bacteroidota; Flavobacteriia; Flavobacteriales; Flavobacteriaceae.
CAGUUCGGAUCGGGGUCUGCAACUCGACCCCGUGAAGUUGGAUUCGCUAGUAAUCGCGUAUCAGCAAUGACGCGGUGAAUACGUUCCCGGGCCUUGUACACACCGCCCGUCAAGCCAUGAAAGUUGGGGGUACCUAAAGCAUGUUACCGCAAGGAGCGUGUUAGGGUAAAACCGAUAAUUGGGGCUAAGUCGUAACAAGGUAGCCGUACCGGAAGGUGCGGCUGGAAUACCUCCUUUCUAGAGC